Molecule: non-coding RNA, 48 nt
Filed under: Trichobilharzia regenti
Lineage: Eukaryota; Metazoa; Platyhelminthes; Trematoda; Strigeidida; Schistosomatidae
Source: RNAcentral
AUCCAGAUGACGAAUUCCAAAUAGAACGAAAUGCGCAUCAAUCUGGAU